Molecule: transfer RNA, 71 nt
Filed under: Parenemella sanctibonifatiensis
Lineage: Bacteria; Bacillati; Actinomycetota; Actinomycetes; Propionibacteriales; Propionibacteriaceae
Rfam family: tRNA
About the family: Transfer RNA (tRNA) molecules are approximately 80 nucleotides in length. Their secondary structure includes four short double-helical elements and three loops (D, anti-codon, and T loops).
Source: Rfam by way of RNAcentral
GCGAGUGUAGUUCAGUGGUAGAACAUCGGCUUUCCAAGCCGAGGACAUGGGUUCGAUUCCUGUCGCUCGCU